This is a long non-coding RNA of Cydia pomonella (codling moth), 616 nucleotides long. RefSeq lists it as uncharacterized. NCBI's taxonomy places the organism in Eukaryota, Metazoa, Arthropoda, Insecta, Lepidoptera, Tortricidae. The transcript has 2 exons. The record is from RefSeq and is a predicted model, not a curated record.
GCCUCCGACUUAGGAAACACUAUCUGUCUCUCUAUCGCACUAAUAUGCGCAAUCGAUUGGCUUCUUGGCUAGGUAUCAUGGGUGCGUAGCCAACAUGCCAAUCGUUUACGAUACGACAACGAAACACUACUCUCUCUCUAUCGCACUAAUAUACGCAAACGAUUGGUAUUUUGGCUAGGCACUAAGCAAGUGUGUGGCCAACAUGCCAAUCGUUUACGAUACGACAACGAAACACUAUCUGUCUCUCUAUCGCACUAAUAUACUUUAUUUAUACCUGCAGUCAUUUAGUAACUUCUUCAUUUUCCAUUGGUGUGAAAGAGACAGAAUAAAGAGCAAGGGUUAUAGUACACUCUGUAGUCUGUACACUUAGUAGUAGUGUACAUAAAAAAAAAACCUACUAAGCAUAUACAAUAAAAUAAAGAGUGCCCAUAUGAUAUCAUAUGACACUAAAAUUAAUGUUGCUUGAAAUUAUAUUGAAAACUAUCAAGAUUAUUCUAGUCUGCAUUGAAACGCGCGUCGCGUUGCCGGCGCUCGCGUACCGAGCGCCAACGCCAUCUAUCGAGCGUUAUUUCGUGAAAUCGGAGAACGCUCCAAGGAUUAAGGGCUCUUAAGACAC